CAAGAUAUAGCUUAAAGAAAGCAUCUAGUUUACACCUAGAAGAUUCCAUAUACCAUGAAUAUCUUGA
RNAcentral lists this transfer RNA (67 nucleotides) under Procapra picticaudata (Tibetan gazelle). Its description in RNAcentral is "tRNA-Val". It matches the Rfam family "tRNA". From Rfam's summary of the family: Transfer RNA (tRNA) molecules are approximately 80 nucleotides in length. Their secondary structure includes four short double-helical elements and three loops (D, anti-codon, and T loops). Lineage: Eukaryota; Metazoa; Chordata; Mammalia; Artiodactyla; Bovidae. The record is from RNAcentral. RNAcentral also lists the same sequence under 2 other names.